RNAcentral lists this ribosomal RNA (430 nucleotides) under uncultured bacterium. RNAcentral describes it as "partial 16S ribosomal RNA". The record is from RNAcentral.
GCUUUAUAAUGACAGGACGGGAUAAAUUUUUGCCAGAAGAAAUAGUAAUAGAGCGGGGGCUGCGCUCUUAUAACUAGGGGGAAAGAAGGGGGCGUCGGUGGUAAACGCAUUCUUCGAAAAGGGUGCUUCUCCAAGGAAUUUAAGUGCAAGUUCCCAGUAUUUUCCACCAAGAAAGUGGAAAACCGGCCAGUCAACAGAGCUUGGUAGAUGUGGAUAACAACACUCAAUCGUAAGGGAGGCUGCGGAUUGAGUCACGGUCGUGGAUGCGAGAGUGAAGGGGGCACAUCAUUCAAGAUCAGACUAGUCCGCACCCCCUACAAUGACAGAUUUACAUUUGGGAUGUACACUUCCGUUAUGUGUAAGAGAUCGCGUGAUAAGUGCCUCCUGGGGAAGCGGUCGCAAGAUUAAAACUCAAAGGAAUUGACGGGAC